UUCCAGGGAUGGGAAUCGAACCCACAGUGUUCCGCUUACUGGGCAGAUGCCAUGUCCACUAGGCUACCCUGGA
Cordylochernes scorpioides is the source of this 73-nucleotide non-coding RNA. The record is from the annotation of a GenBank genome assembly. Lineage: Eukaryota; Metazoa; Arthropoda; Arachnida; Pseudoscorpiones; Chernetidae.